Molecule: transfer RNA, 67 nt
Filed under: Marmota monax (woodchuck)
Lineage: Eukaryota; Metazoa; Chordata; Mammalia; Rodentia; Sciuridae
Description: tRNA.Undet
Source: RNAcentral
GUUGUGGCUCAGCGGUAGAGCGCUCACCUAGUGAUGUGAGGCCCUGGGUUCGAUCCUCAGCACCACA